Non-coding RNA from Heterocephalus glaber (naked mole-rat), 542 nucleotides. The record is from RefSeq and is a predicted model, not a curated record. Lineage: Eukaryota; Metazoa; Chordata; Mammalia; Rodentia; Bathyergidae.
AGCUCAUCUAAUCCAGAAUAAUGAAGAAACAAGCAGGGAGAAAGAGCCAUGGUUUUCUGCAGCUGGGACUUAAGAUGGGAUAGAUGUCAACUGAAGGAAUUUCUACUGAUUCCUGGGCAUACUUUCCCCAGAUGCAUUUGCAUUGGGAAACAGUGAGGAAUGGCGAGACAGUCCAAAUCCAAGUGACCUGAAGGCUUCAAAUAUCUUUGAGAAAUGAUUUCCUAAAGCUCUGAGCUGCCAUGAACUGAAAAGCGCUCCUCUACUACUCUUCUGCCAUGAUGUUUCUGCAUCGGAACCAGCUGAGAGUGGAAUAAAAGCCAUGAAACUGAGCCAAAAUAAAUCUUUGCUUUUCUAAGUUGCUUUUCUCUGGUAUUUGGUUAUAGAGACGGAAAACUGACUAACAUACACCCCAUCCAACUUAUUGGCAUAUAAUUCUCAAGACACUGAAUUCUAGUCAGGGUGGUUUCCUCCCUGGCCAGUAGAUAUACCAUACUUUCUCUGUCUCCAACCUCCAUUUAUGAGAUCAUAAACUUUGUCUUUCA